Molecule: ribosomal RNA, 742 nt
Filed under: Salmonella enterica
Lineage: Bacteria; Pseudomonadati; Pseudomonadota; Gammaproteobacteria; Enterobacterales; Enterobacteriaceae
Description: bacterial SSU rRNA
Rfam family: Bacterial small subunit ribosomal RNA
Source: RNAcentral
AAAUUGAAGAGUUUGAUCAUGGCUCAGAUUGAACGCUGGCGGCAGGCCUAACACAUGCAAGUCGAACGGUAACAGGAAGCAGCUUGCUGCUUCGCUGACGAGUGGCGGACGGGUGAGUAAUGUCUGGGAAACUGCCUGAUGGAGGGGGAUAACUACUGGAAACGGUGGCUAAUACCGCAUAACGUCGCAAGACCAAAGAGGGGGACCUUCGGGCCUCUUGCCAUCAGAUGUGCCCAGAUGGGAUUAGCUUGUUGGUGAGGUAACGGCUCACCAAGGCGACGAUCCCUAGCUGGUCUGAGAGGAUGACCAGCCACACUGGAACUGAGACACGGUCCAGACUCCUACGGGAGGCAGCAGUGGGGAAUAUUGCACAAUGGGCGCAAGCCUGAUGCAGCCAUGCCGCGUGUAUGAAGAAGGCCUUCGGGUUGUAAAGUACUUUCAGCGGGGAGGAAGGUGUUGCGGUUAAUAACCGCAGCAAUUGACGUUACCCGCAGAAGAAGCACCGGCUAACUCCGUGCCAGCAGCCGCGGUAAUACGGAGGGUGCAAGCGUUAAUCGGAAUUACUGGGCGUAAAGCGCACGCAGGCGGUCUGUCAAGUCGGAUGUGAAAUCCCCGGGCUCAACCUGGGAACUGCAUUCGAAACUGGCAGGCUUGAGUCUUGUAGAGGGGGGUAGAAUUCCAGGUGUAGCGGUGAAAUGCGUAGAGAUCUGGAGGAAUACCGGUGGCGAAGGCGGCCCCCUGG